Molecule: long non-coding RNA, 1941 nt
Organism: Xenia sp. Carnegie-2017
Lineage: Eukaryota; Metazoa; Cnidaria; Anthozoa; Malacalcyonacea; Xeniidae
Exons: 2
Source: RefSeq, a predicted model, not a curated record
AUCUUGGACAUGUAGUCGGACAAGGUCAAGUAAAACCAGUCAAUGCUAAGGUCGAAGCGAUCUCCAAAUUUCCUCAGCCCACUUCAAAGAAACACUUAAUGCGUUUUCUCGGUAUGGCUGGAUAUUAUCGAAAAUUUUGCCCAAACUUUUCAACAAUAACCGAACCGUUGACCAAUUUGCUACGGAAAAAUGUCAAUUUUACUUGGACAACCUCAUGCCAGAACGCUUUUGACCAGCUAAAAGCCCUAUUACAACAUUCCCCGGUUUUGUCCGCUCCAGAUUUUCAACGCCCCUUCAAACUUGCUGUCGAUGCAAGUGAUGUUGCAGCAGGAGCAGUUUUGUUACAAGAAGACAAGGAUGGUGUCGAUCACCCGUUUUUAGCGAUCACAACCCUCUCGUUUUCAUCAGUAAAAUGAAGAACAAGAAUCAACGUUUGCUCCGUUGGAGUCUAUUAUUAUCCGAAUUCAACCUUGUUAUCAAACACAUUAAAGGUAGAGACAACCUCAUCGCUGAUUGUCUCUCACGACCUUAGAACAUUAUUAUCUUAAAGAAAGCUUUUCAAUCUUUCUUUUUUCUUAAGGGGAAGGGUGUUACAUGGUAAUACAUAAUCAUGUAAAUGAUACUUAUUAUUGGUAUAUACUUAAAUAUUAUUAGUUAACUAAUUAGUAAAAUGCCUUACUCAUACAUGCAUGUGUAUGUUAACCACAAUAACAGGAAAGCUUACGUACAGGACGUGGUCAACCUACUGACCACAAACAACUUACAGGAUACAUGGUUAAUCAACUGACCACAAUUUACGCACAAGCGUUUAAUCGUACUUCAUUGUGCAAUCAUAUAUAAGCCGAAAAUCGAACGUUGUAGUGAUGUUGGUGCUUAGUAUAAGUCCACAUCAGAAGAAAGCUCAUGUAAAAGAAGACGAACUAUUUAAGAAAAGAAUCAAAGAAUACAGAUAUAUAUCCUAUCCAUCAACGAAAGAGUCACUGAAAGUCUGAAAGCAGUUGUCUACAUAAGUUUGAACAUUUAAACAUUUAUGUUAUAACGAUUAUAUCAAAAUUAUUAGUAUAUUAAAUAAAUAUUUUAAGAAUUGACAACAACUUCUCCACAAGGUUUUACUCCUUUUGUUACGAGCAAUUGAACCAAAAGCAGCCAUUUUAUUAUUAGUCGGGACGUUCGUAACAGCUGAUUCAAGUAGAUUGAAAUUACUUGGAAACGAUACGAAUACUUUUGUUAAAUUAUGAUAAACCUAUUUCUAUGAUGACAUGCGUUGUUUGUUUUUUGAAAACAAUGAAUUAUAAGACCGUAAUGUCGAAAAUUAAAUAAAAACAUUGAACUUUCUUCUGAACGUUAUGUACUUUUACAAAGGAAACUUUCUUGUUGAUAUCCAGUGUAUAAAGGCGUGUUGACAAAUUUUCACGUAUAGAUUCUAUUGUAUAGUAUAUAUAUCUCAAUAUUGAUAGAUAGAGAUCGAACUUGAAUUGUGAUCGACGUCUAUUUAUAUGAAGGAUGCAUGCUGAUGAUAUUUCAGAGUAAAAAAGGUAUUUAGCUAUAGUGUUACAAACGUUCGUAAACUUACCAAUAGGCAUGAUAGAAUCGUUAGAAAAUCUACUCCCCCAACUAAUUUAUUGAAAAUAAGUAUUUGAAAAUUGCGAUUUUGCAUUAAAACCUGCGUCAAAAACUGCAUGUUCUAUUUUCUUGUGUGGAAUUUGUGUUGAUUGAAUAAACCUUUCUUUCAAUGCUCGUCAAAUGUCUUCAACCAUGCCGAAAGAGAUGCAUAAGCAUGUUGCAUUUUCGUAUAAUUAUAUCUUUUUCCUAAGGAAGUGUUAAUGCAAAAUCAGCUCUUAUCGUAAUUGUACUGUUACGUUACAUUAUUGUAAUUAUUAUUAUAUUAUUUGUUAUAAUAGCAAGAAGUCCUUUAAUUAAUUCAGUCAUCAAGCACGUAAA